Molecule: long non-coding RNA, 280 nt
Filed under: Monodelphis domestica (gray short-tailed opossum)
Lineage: Eukaryota; Metazoa; Chordata; Mammalia; Didelphimorphia; Didelphidae
Description: lncRNA (ENSMODG00000032136.2)
Source: RNAcentral
CAUAUUCAUUCCAACCUACAUAUAUUCACUCUCUCCCUCUAACUGAUGUUGUGUUCUUCUCUUUCCCAGAAAACUGGUGCUAUGAUUACAAAGGUUAUAAAAUGUGCAGUCCUCCAGUUGAAGAGGCAUGGACUGGGAGCUGCCAAAAUAAGGACAAUCCCCAAUUAACACUCUGAGCACAAGAGUCAAGAAUCUUCCCUCACUGGGUCGUUUGAGGUUCAAGAACUAUGAAAUGAAGAAUGUAAGGCCUAUUAAAAACAAUGGGUUUUCUGGUCAGUCA